GAACUUUUGUGGGGGUGUACCAAUGGCAAUCUCACCAUAGUACUGAGCAUCCAGGUAGUUCUUUAACGCAACAAUAUCAGUAUCAGAAGAUUCUCCAAGAUUACCAUUGGGGUUAUACUUCCUAAAAGCAGCUUUCAAAAUCUCAACAUCCUUGGACUCAAGGCGGGCAGCUAGCCGGUUCUCUGGGUCUAACUUAAUCUUCUUCAGUCCAACUCUAAGCAACCCAUCAUUCGAUGCAGACGAGACAAUAUUAAAUGAAACCAACAAGA
RNAcentral lists this unclassified non-coding RNA (269 nucleotides) under Hevea brasiliensis (rubber tree). The record is from RNAcentral. Lineage: Eukaryota; Viridiplantae; Streptophyta; Magnoliopsida; Malpighiales; Euphorbiaceae.